This 253-nucleotide ribosomal RNA is filed under the name uncultured prokaryote. RNAcentral's name for it is "partial 16S ribosomal RNA". It matches the Rfam family "Bacterial small subunit ribosomal RNA", at positions 524 to 776 of the family's 1533-position model. The record is from RNAcentral.
UACAGAGGGGGCAAGCGUUGUUCGGAAUUACUGGGCGUAAAGGGCGCGUAGGCGGUCUGUUAAGUCGAACGUGAAAUACCCGAGCUCAACUCGGGAACUGCGUCCGAUACUGGCAGGCUUGAAUCCGGGAGAGGGAUGCGGAAUUCCAGGUGUAGCGGUGAAAUGCGUAGAUAUCUGGAGGAACACCGGUGGCGAAGGCGGCAUCCUGGACCGGCAUUGACGCUGAAGCGCGAAAGCCAGGGGAGCAAACGGG